GGGCAAUUAGCUCAGUUGGUUAGAGCGUCACGUUUACACCGUGAAUGUCGGGGGUUCUAGUCCCUCAUUGCCCACCA
This 77-nucleotide transfer RNA is filed under the name Lentisphaeria bacterium. RNAcentral's name for it is "tRNA-Val". It matches the Rfam family "tRNA". Rfam says of the family: Transfer RNA (tRNA) molecules are approximately 80 nucleotides in length. Their secondary structure includes four short double-helical elements and three loops (D, anti-codon, and T loops). The record is from RNAcentral. Lineage: Bacteria; Pseudomonadati; Lentisphaerota; Lentisphaeria.